UUGCCUAUAGUUAAAAGCACCCCAAAAAGUUUACUUUCUACCACUGCUGGUAUCGUUUAAUUUUGAUGACAUUAUCUCAUAAAUUCGACAUCUUUAUGCUGUAAUGUUAAUUAUGACAAUCUACUGACUAUUGUAGCAAUAGGAACUUCAGUCAUUAGUUUAUGUAAAAGUCGAGUUCGUUAAGAAAGGGCACCUGGAGUUUUAGCUAACUAGAGAGGCUAACGGUUAGCGUUAUGUUUCGCUGUGUUAUAAACGGAGAGCAGUGAGCAGUUUCAAAGACAUCUCAUCCCCAAGUUUUAGGCUCCCACCACAGAGGAGAUGGCGUGAGAAUCAGCAGUCGUCUUCUGAUCUGAUGGUGGGAGGUUUUCCUUGGACCAGUUCGUCUGUUUAUCCUGGGUCGAGGGGGCAUUGGGGGCUGAGGCCUUGGCUCUGUGGCCCCCCAGGACCUCACCACCUUCACCUUCCCCUGUCGAGGUAGCCUGGAAUAAACAGGCAGCAGCAACGUUAUAUACAUGGUGCAGUGUCAGCAACUUGCAGUGUCAUCAUCAGGACUUGCAUGCCAACAGCACCAAGAGAGGAGAGGAGAGGGAGUAGAGUAAAAAAGAAGACAUGUCACAUCUGAGAGCCCAAGAGAGCGACAGACAGUGAUAUAUAGAGAGGGAGACAGGGGGAGAAGGGAAGGGAGGGGAAAGGGCUUCUGAGGCAACUGAGGAAACACCAAUGUGCUGUACCUGAGAACAGGAGGGGUCUGCUGUUGCUACCUCAACCUGAAAUAACCCAAGUGAGGCUGUGAGUUCACUACCAAAUGUCACCUGUCUUGUCUCCUACAUGCAGCACCCCUGCGGAGUACAAAAACGACCAUCUGUGAGAGCCUCUGUGUGGAACUUUCUUGUGAUGCUGAGAGGAAAUCACUAAGUUGAACAUGGAUGGAACAUGCAUUCUCUUCAUCCUGGAACAACUCCCCCACUUUAUUGUAGCCAAUAAAGGACCUAUUUACAUUGUUACACUAGAUACUGUAUGUUUCCUUUCCACUGUCUCUUGUUGCUAAGGAGUAGUGACUCUGUUAAUGUACCAUUUCCUAAAGAACCGACAACAUCUGUAUCCUUCUGACAGCCUCUAUUUUUCUGAGAGCAGUGACUUUACAGUCUAUUGAAGUCUAGUGUUACGUAAUACUACACAAGGUAAAAAGUUACUCAUUGGUACUUGUGGAAUUACAGCACUGAACUUUAUGCUAAAUGCUGGAGUCACUAUAUUACAGAGAUGUCCACUCAGUGUGCAGACACUGACGGACACACACAUACACACACACUGACCCAGAGAGAUUGCUGAGUAUGUGCAUUUUUUUGGUCCCCAGUCAUCUGUCAAAGGUUUUUGGGGGAAUGGUGUUGAUGAUGGGGUCUCCAGACAGAGAUGACAGCAGUUCAGGACAGUUCAGUUUAGCAUGUCACAGGAGGCUGACACACAAAUGUGCACACACACACACAUCAGAGAGGCAUUUAUGCAUGGACAGACAUAUUGGAUACACACACAGAAACAAACAAAAAGGAACAACACACUGAGCUGCAGUGUCAAGUUUUACCAGGAAACAGAACUGUAAUGCAACAAGGUUGUCACUGUCUAUUUUUUGUAUAUCUGUUACAGUAUACACAGGUUGUUUGUAACCAGCACCUGAUUCUGUCAUGUUAAAGUAGCCUACAUUUAUCACCAUCUCAAGAUUAUGAGCACAAUUUAGGUUAUUACUUAUAAUAAUCAUGUAAUGAAGUGUUACGUUUUCAGAUCCCCUGAAAGUCAGGUGCUCCAUUACACAUAACCAAUCAUAAUGUUUUAAUUUGCA
Molecule: long non-coding RNA, 1834 nt
Organism: Siniperca chuatsi (mandarin fish)
Lineage: Eukaryota; Metazoa; Chordata; Actinopteri; Centrarchiformes; Sinipercidae
Exons: 6
Source: RefSeq, a predicted model, not a curated record